GAUGAACGCUGGCGGCGUGCCUAAUACAUGCAAGUCGAGCGAACGGACGAGAAGCUUGCUUCUCUGAUGUUAGCGGCUGACGGGUGAGUAACACGUGGAUAACCUACAUAUAAUACUGGGAUAACUUCGGGAAAACAGAGCUAAUAACGGAUCAUAUUUUGUACCGCAUGGAUCAAAAGUGAAAGACGGCUUUCCUGUCACUUCUAGAUGGAUCCGCGCUGCAUUAGCUAGUUGGUAAGGUAACGGCAUACCAAGGCUACGAUGCAUAGCCGACCUGAGAGGGUGAUCGGCCACACUGGAACUGAGACACGGUCCAGACUCCUACGGGAGGCAGCAGUAGGGAAUCUUCCGCAAAGGGCGAAAGCCUGACGGAGCAACGCCGCGUGAGUGAUGAAGGUCUUCGGAUCGUAAAACUCUGUUAUUAGGGAAGAACAGAUGUGUAAGUAACUGUGCACGUCUUGACGGUACCUAAUCAGAAAGCCACGGCUAACUACGUG
RNAcentral lists this ribosomal RNA (497 nucleotides) under uncultured bacterium. RNAcentral's name for it is "partial 16S ribosomal RNA". It matches the Rfam family "Bacterial small subunit ribosomal RNA", at positions 28 to 507 of the family's 1533-position model. The record is from RNAcentral.